Molecule: long non-coding RNA, 478 nt
Organism: Oxyura jamaicensis (ruddy duck)
Lineage: Eukaryota; Metazoa; Chordata; Aves; Anseriformes; Anatidae
Exons: 3
Source: RefSeq, a predicted model, not a curated record
CAGUAACCAGUGUGUUGAUCCAUCAACAGAAAGUACCCAGACGUGGUUUCUUGCUAUUUGAGAUGUCCUUGGACAUCCUACCUGCCUCUGGGAUUUCUCCUUGGCUUUGCGUGCAUUCAUUCUGAUUGAAUCAGCUUCUUCCUGGAUCAUGUUUGAAGUCUGCCUUCUGGUCUCUGAAGGGGAGGGAACUACUGCUAAUUUAUGCAACACAAUUUGGAGUUUCAAAUGGAACCAUGUGUUGCCAUACAUCUGCUUGGGAUAAAUGAAACAAGUCAUCCUUUAACCUCUCUCUGUUUAUGAGGGCACAGAGGACAUAAAAUAUUUAUUGGAGAGCAUUGCAGAGGACACUGCAGACAUGUGCAGGCAAAACAGCUCGUGGCUGCCAGUUACGUUAUGGAGAUGAUGCAGACCUGGGACGUGGAGGCGUUGUUACUCUGGUUUUGACACCGAGACAAUGUGUCUCUGGACUGGAUCUGCC